UGUCCAAUUGCAAUCGGCUCGCAGGAGCUCAUGAUCCCACUGGAUGUCCUCAGUAGUGUGCUCUCCGAGGAGUCCAGCGCACAGAAUUGUCAAAAGUGGUAGUGUUACAACAAUGAACCUUGUGCUAUUUGCGGCAUGAAAAUCGCCGUGAAAUGCAUGGACGCCUCAAGAGGUAGAGCAGGAGAAUGCUGCACAGUAAAUGAGCUCUGGCGUCACUGCAGAGGUUGCGCUCUGCCAUAAAAAUAUGCAGAUGCGCGGCCAUUUACACACGGCAUGUGGUCAUCGCUUCCAAUAGACCGUGCCACAACUGCAGAUUCUAGAAACAAGCCUCAAGGUACAGAUCUGUGUGGCUCUUGACAGUGGGUAAUCGAUAAUGCUUUCAGCUGUGAUCUGAUAUGUGUUACAUUUGGGUUUCAAUCUGGGCAGGUCAUCCAUAGGAUGUAACCCUUUGCUGUGUAUACAUGUGUUCUUACUGGUCAAUUUUGACAAAAGCUACACCGUACGGAUGCAUCAUGCAGCCAUGAUUGCCCAAUAUUAGCUCCUUCUCCAGGGACGCAGUACUGACUAAUGACUUUCUUGCAGAGAGGAUGGAUUUUUAAGAUUGCCAUGGGCUCAUCAUGCAGCAAUGGAAGCAGCACAGCAGACCAGCUGUCUGGAGAGAGAUAUAUCUCUCUAUACCAGCAAAGCUAGUAUUGACAGUCUAAAGGCCUGCUAACUUCACAGCAUGUCAGAUUUGAAAAAAUCUCAAUUGCUCACUUUUGCGCUCGUAUACAGAUGGGACCUUACAGCUUUGAUCGUAUGCAAUAUGGACAUCUUGCAAGGGAACAAUCCCCUACACUUGCAAGUGCACAAGGAUGUCUGCUUGACAGGGGUCAAAGGUGACAGUGUUUUUAAUUAAGCUGAUGUGUGAAUGGGACACGUUUUUUAGAUUCCAUAAUAGAGACUGAUCCGCCAGUCGAGAGUCCUGGUCAAGAUCCACAGUGCCCCUUAACGCAUGCCGAACGCAUCCUGCUUGCACAAUAGGUAGGACGAAAACAGCCUCUAUGUCGAGCAGGGGGCUGCAUGCAUUUAGCAGACAAUUCAUACAUAUGCAGCUCCUUGGAUGUGUGGAAAUUA
This 1116-nucleotide long non-coding RNA is filed under the name Coccomyxa subellipsoidea. Its description in RNAcentral is "long non-coding RNA (CSUB_LNC000087)". Lineage: Eukaryota; Viridiplantae; Chlorophyta; Trebouxiophyceae; Coccomyxaceae. The record is from RNAcentral.